RNAcentral lists this ribosomal RNA (450 nucleotides) under uncultured bacterium. RNAcentral's name for it is "partial 16S ribosomal RNA". It matches the Rfam family "Bacterial small subunit ribosomal RNA", at positions 354 to 796 of the family's 1533-position model. The record is from RNAcentral.
GUCGAGAAUAAUUCACAAUGGGGGAAACCCUGAUGGUGCAACGCCGCGUGGAGGAUGAAGGUCUUCGGAUUGUAAACUCCUGUCAUCUGGGAGUAAGACCUGACGGUGAAUAGCCGGCAGGGUUGAUAGUACCAGAAGAGGAAGGGACGGCUAACUUCGUGCCAGCAGCCGCGGUAAUACGAAGGUCCCAAGCGUUGUUCGGAAUCACUGGGCGUAAAGGGAGCGUAGGCGGCGUGGUAAGUCAGAUGUGAAAUCCCGGGGCUCAACCCCGGAACUGCAUCCGAUACUGCCAUGCUUGAGGGUUGGAGAGGUAGCUGGAAUUCUCGGUGUAGCAGUGAAAUGCGUGGAUAUCGAGAGGAACACUCGUGGCGAAGGCGAGCUACUGGACAACAUCUGACGCUGAGGCUCGAAGGCUAGGGGAGCAAAAGGGAUUAGAUACCCGUGUAGUCC